This 206-nucleotide ribosomal RNA is filed under the name uncultured Latescibacterota bacterium. Its description in RNAcentral is "uncultured Latescibacteria bacterium partial 16S ribosomal RNA". It matches the Rfam family "Bacterial small subunit ribosomal RNA", at positions 568 to 773 of the family's 1533-position model. The record is from RNAcentral. Lineage: Bacteria; Pseudomonadati; Candidatus Latescibacterota.
CGUGUAGGCGGUCAGGUAAGUGGAAUGUGAAAUGCCCCGGCUCACCCGGGGACCGGCAUCCCAAACUGCCUGGCUUGAGUAUGGGAGAGGAUGGAGGAAUUCCUGGUGUAGCGGUGAAAUGCGUAGAUAUCAGGAGGAACACCGGUGGCGAAGGCGUCCAUCUGGCCCAAUACUGACGCUGAGGCGCGAAAGCUAGGGGAGCAAAC